AUUGAACGCUGGCGGCAGGCCUAACACAUGCAAGUCGAACGGUAACAGGAAGAAGCUUGCUUCUUUGCUGACGAGUGGCGGACGGGUGAGUAAUGUCUGGGAAACUGCCUGAUGGAGGGGGAUAACUACUGGAAACGGUAGCUAAUACCGCAUAACGUCGCAAGACCAAAGAGGGGGACCUUCGGGCCUCUUGCCAUCGGAUGUGCCCAGAUGGGAUUAGCUAGUAGGUGGGGUAACGGCUCACCUAGGCGACGAUCCCUAGCUGGUCUGAGAGGAUGACCAGCCACACUGGAACUGAGACACGGUCCAGACUCCUACGGGAGGCAGCAGUGGGGAUUAUUGCACAAUGGGCGCAAGCCUGAUGCAGCCAUGCCGCGUGUAUGAAGAAGGCCUUCGGGUUGUAAAGUACUUUCAGCGGGGAGGAAGGGAGUAAAGUUAAUACCUUUGCUCAUUGACGUUACCCGCAGAAGAAGCACCGGCUAACUCCGUG
This 490-nucleotide ribosomal RNA is filed under the name uncultured bacterium. Its description in RNAcentral is "partial 16S ribosomal RNA". It matches the Rfam family "Bacterial small subunit ribosomal RNA", at positions 30 to 507 of the family's 1533-position model. The record is from RNAcentral.